UGAGGGGAACCGCCUGAACUGAAACAUCUAAGUAGGGCGAGGAAGAGAAAUCAACCGAGAUUCCGCUAGUAGUGGCGAGCGAACGCGGAAGAGGCCAAACCGGAGGUAGCAAUAUUUCCGGGGUUAGGACUGCAAUAUGUAACUUUAAUCUUUAACUGAAUGCUUUGGGAAGAGCAGCGAAACAGGGUGACAGCCCCGUAAGUGAAAGAGAUUGAGUGCUAGCAGUAUCCAGAGUACCAGCGGACACGUGAAACCCGCUGGGAAGAUGGGGGGACCAUCCUCCAAGCCUAAAUACUACUCAGUGACCGAUAGUGGAGCAGUACCGUGAGGGAAAGGUGAAAAGUACCCCGGGAGGGGAGUGAAAGAGAACCUGAAACCUUGUGCCUACAAGCACCGAGAGCACGUUAAAGUGUGAUCGGGUACUUUUUGUAGAACGGUCCGGCGAGUUAAUAUUUGCAGCGAGGUUAAGUAACUGGAGUUACGGAGCCGCAGCGAGAGCGAGUCUGAAUAGGGCGUAUGAAGUUGCAGGUAUUAGACCCGAAACCGGGUGACCUAUCCAUGAGCAGGCUGAAGCGGUGGUAAGACACCGUGGAGGGCCGCACCCACGUCUGUUGAAAAAGCCGGGGAUGACUUGUGGAUAGCGGAGAAAUUCCAAUCGAACUCGGAGAUAGCUGGUUCUCCCCGAAAUAGCUUUAGGGCUAGCGUUAUUUUAGAUUACCGGAGGUAAAGCACUGAAUGGUCUAGGGGCCGCGAGGUUACCAAAGCCUAUCAAACUCUGAAUGCCGGAUAAUUGAUGAAUAGCAGUCAGACUGUGUGAGAUAAGUCUCAUAGUCAAAAGGGAAACAGCCCAGAUCUACAGCUAAGGUCCCAAAUGAACACUAAGUGGAAAAUGAUGUGAAACUGCGAAGACAACCAGGAUGUUGGCUUAGAAGCAGCCACUCAUUCAAAGAGUGCGUAAUAGCUCACUGGUCGAGUGGUUUUGCGCAGAAAAUGUAACGGGGCUAAGUGUUCAACCGAAGCUUAGGCAUUGCAGUAAUGCAUUGGGUAGGGGAGCGUCGUAUGCGGGGCGAAGUCAGAGCGGAAGCACUGGUGGACUGCAUACGAGUGAGAAUGCCGGAAUAAGUAGCGAGAAUUAUGUGAGAAUCAUAAUGGCCGAAAAUCUAAGGUUUCCUGGGGAAGGUUCGUCCGCCCAGGGUUAGUCGGGAGCUAAGCUCAGGCCGAAAGGCGUAGGCGAUGCACAUACGGUAGAAAUUCCGUAACCACCGAACUUUAAGCUAGAGGGACGCUUUCUUUAAGGUUAUCCCGGGCGAUGGUUGCCCCGGGCGUAAGGGACCGAAAUAUAGUAGGGAAGUAACUGGCGAGAGAGACGAGAAAAGCUCUAGUGUAUACUAAGGUGCCCGUACCGCAAACCGACACAGGUAGAAGGGAUGAGUAUUCUAAGGCCAACGGGAGAAGGGUUGUUAAGGAACUCGGCAAAUUGGCCCCGUAACUUCGGGAUAAGGGGCGCCUGCGAGAGCAGGCCGCAGUGAAAAGGCCCAAGCGACUGUUUAGCAAAAACACAGCUCUCUGCUAAAUCGAAAGAUGACGUAUAGGGGGUGACGCCUGCCCGGUGCUGGAAGGUUAAGGGGAGUGCUUAGCGCAAGCGAAGGUGCGAACUUAAGCCCCAGUAAACGGCGGCCGUAACUAUAACGGUCCUAAGGUAGCGAAAUUCCUUGUCAGGUAAGUUCUGACCCGCACGAAUGGCGUAACGAUUUGGGCACUGUCUCAACAGCCCGCCCGGCGAAAUUGUAGUACCGGUGAAGAUGCCGGUUACCCGCGACAAGACGGAAA
This 1830-nucleotide ribosomal RNA is filed under the name human metagenome. Its description in RNAcentral is "bacterial LSU rRNA". It matches the Rfam family "Bacterial large subunit ribosomal RNA", at positions 175 to 2086 of the family's 2925-position model. The record is from RNAcentral.